Molecule: long non-coding RNA, 944 nt
Filed under: Homo sapiens (human)
Lineage: Eukaryota; Metazoa; Chordata; Mammalia; Primates; Hominidae
Description: non-protein coding lnc-ZSWIM2-16:5
Source: RNAcentral
GAGUGCAGUCGCCGCCUGUCCCGAGACCUGGGCGUCUGUGCAGGGGCCCCCAGCUCCUGAGCCUGGGUCAGCGGCAGCGCUCCUGGACGAAGGCCUCAGGCUGAGCACCUGAGGAGGCGUGGGGGCGGGGGCGGGGAGAUACGGUCCAGCGUCCCAAUCUACCCGCGUCCACGGGAGUAGCAAGGGCACCCACGUUCCCUUGUCCCGCCGGGAACUUCCGUGCGACUGUUGUUUAAAAAUGAGGAAAGCUUUUUAUCAGUUUCUCGUGUUUCUGCUGCUUAGCCUGGCAGGCUCUCACGAACGAAACCCUGUUAAUUAAUGGUCGUUAAUUACACUCCAUUCCACAAACACUGAACUUAAUUACGGAUUUCCAGAAAGCCAGCAUAGCCUCUUGCAAGUGAGGUAUGUAAAGCUUAACUUAGUAGUCAAAGAAAGGAUUCGCAGGGCAAAGAAUUGGCAGUGAUCGUUUUAAAUCAAGUCAGAAUAAUCGAAGCCUUAUUCCCAGUUUGUUAGCUGCGGUUGUAUGAUUUAGAAACACUGAUUUGUUGAUUUAGGAUGUUUGGAUAGACAUAAUUUCAGAGCUGGAAGAAGGACCGCACACCGGUGAAAUAAGGCCCCGCGUGCUUGUUUGCCACUGGUGUGUUUCAUCAAGCCUUGACAACACUGGACUGAGAGAGAGGGCCUUGAGGACAGGAACCUUGACCUUUUUCUUAGUGUUCUUAUUUCUAGCACCUUGCCAAGCAGAUAGUAGUCGAUCAAUAAAAUGUCCAAUCAGUGAAUGAAUAGCAGACGAAAUGAGCAAAGUGCCCAGAGAAGUGACUCUUCCAUAUUUCAAGUGUUUCAUGUGCUACAGAAUCUGUUGAACAAGGUGAAGUUUAAGUGCAUUGUGUGGACUUACAACUUACAAGGGAAGCCAGCUGCCAUGUUAUGAGGACACACAAGCU